Molecule: long non-coding RNA, 1145 nt
Organism: Patella vulgata (common limpet)
Lineage: Eukaryota; Metazoa; Mollusca; Gastropoda; Patellidae
Exons: 4
Source: RefSeq, a predicted model, not a curated record
GUGCAUGGAAGAACGCAAAACUUCUACAUACUUCAAAGGUUGAUUCCAUUUGGACGAAUGCGCCUGCAACGUCUCUAUCACAUUUUAAGGGUACCGUCUACUGUAGAAAGUCAAUAUCCCGAAGUUAUCGAAAUGCUUCAUAUAGUAAAUCUAGUAUUGUGAUUAACACCUGUGACCCAAGUAGAUUUCUGGAAUCAAUUUAUACGUCUCUGAAAAUGGAUUGUGCCCGAGCUUGUACAAACAAAGCUGAUUGUAAACGAUAUUUGUAUUGUUCACGUAAUUCAUCUUGUAAAUUAUAUCAAGAUGGUAGAGAUUGUGUUAUGUCUGGUGAUACAACUGGUUGUUCCUGUUACACACAGAACAUUCGUUGCGAGGGUGCCGGUUGUACCUGUCCUUUAGGUAAAUAUGGACAAGGCUGUCACGAUAUCAUAUCAGACUGCACCGAAGGUUCACAGAAAGGUUUGAGAUCAUCUAAUAAAGUAUUGACAACCAUAAAGCCGCAUGCAUCUCCUGAAUCUGUUGAAGUACUAUGUACAUUUGACGAUGGUGGAUGGACUGGAAUACUCUGCCGUAAUAAGGACUGUUUACAUGAGAACUUUAAUAGAACUCUGGAGCAAUAUGAAGAGGGUUUUGGCAAUGUUGCGUCUAACAAAUGGCUAGGUUUGAAACAAAUACUAUCCCUACUUGAUAAUCCGCGCAGUACCUACAGCUUACGGGUAGUCCUGGUUAAACCAGAUGCAUCAACUUGCAUCAGUCAGUACACCAACGUUGUUGUUGGUAAUAAAUCGACGUCAUAUACAUUAUAUAUCAGUGGCUAUACUGGUAAUGGAACAACAUGUGGAGACAGUUUGACUGGUACUAUUAACUUGAACAACAAUCCCUUCUCUACGUACGAUGUUGAUUAUACUGAUAACUUGGAAUGUGUCAAGAGAUUCGGGGGCGGAUGGUGGUAUGCUAGUCAUGUCGACUGCACCAGUAGCCUUUUAACCGGAUCAAUGAAUGGCUCCAGAACAGAUAAUUUUUGGAAUGAAAGCCUGUCAGAUUCUGCAUUGAAUCAAAUAUAUUUACAAUUACAAAGGAAUUGAUAAAUUCAUUGAGAGAGACAUUAUAGUUUUCAGCAACAUGAACAAUGUGCAUGUGCUUAU